This 90-nucleotide transfer RNA is filed under the name Gemmata obscuriglobus. RNAcentral describes it as "tRNA-Thr". The record is from RNAcentral. Lineage: Bacteria; Pseudomonadati; Planctomycetota; Planctomycetia; Gemmatales; Gemmataceae.
GGUUCGGAGAGUUCCCGGCAGCCGGGACGCGCGGGUUCGUGCCGGGCGCGAUGUUACCAACGUCGCCGCGGUUCAACCGCACCGGGCGCC